GUACGGGGGGCUGGUAGAAUGCCUUGGUGGGUUGCUGAGUGGGCAGAGACCAGCGGUACUCUGCCCGGGUGCCAGCGCUACCACUGAAGUAGCCUGGUUGGAGCCUGGUUGUGGGAGGGGGAGACCGACUGUCUCCCCUCUGGAUACACUGCUCUGUGGCUGGGGGACAGGACCGACCGUCCCUACCCCUGGUGCUGCAAGUGCAGAGACUACGGUCCCAUCUGCAUAGUUGUGGGGCUUAACAUCUCCCCUUGGUGGGUUAGGCUGCCGCUGGAGAGAGGGUGUAACAAGCUCCUCUCUCUGAACUGUAGACAGCCGCUGGGGAGAGGGGGUAACCUGCUCCUCUCCCUGACCCUCUCUUUGCUGGUGGAGAGGGGGACCAACUGUCUCCCCUUUCAAUAUUUUGUCCUGCGGCUGGGGUGCGAGACAGACGGUCUCUGCUUCCUGGGAUACACACUGCCGCUGGGGAGGAAGGACGGCACCUUCAGCUCCCUGGGGUACACACUGCCGCUGGGGAGGAAGGACGGCACCUUCAGCUCCCUGGGGUACACACUGCCGCUGGAGAGGAAGGACGCCACCUUCUGCUCCCUGGGAUACACACAGCAGCUGGGGAGGAAGGACGACCCCUUCGGCUUCCUGGGACUCACACUGCCGCUGGAGAUCUGGGCCGACCGCCCAGCAUCCCUGUAGGGCCGGUAGAGAGACCGCCGUUCCAUCUCCACCUGCCAUCUGUGGGUCUUCCCAGGACCAGUCGGUGAGGUCCCUCAACAUUUGCGAGUAAGGACCACCUGCUUCCGCACCUGGCAACUCCGGCUGCUGCUGGGGAUCUGGGCCGGUCCCAUCUGCACCUGCCUGUUGUGGUUCCUCAGAGGACCAGUCUAUGAGGACCCCUACUUCGGGUUCCUGCGGC
Molecule: non-coding RNA, 910 nt
Organism: Pelobates cultripes (western spadefoot toad)
Lineage: Eukaryota; Metazoa; Chordata; Amphibia; Anura; Pelobatidae
Source: the annotation of a GenBank genome assembly